This 1495-nucleotide long non-coding RNA is filed under the name Prunus dulcis (almond). The record is from RNAcentral. Lineage: Eukaryota; Viridiplantae; Streptophyta; Magnoliopsida; Rosales; Rosaceae.
CUUUUCUCUCUCCUUAUCUUUCCAACCCCACUGAUAUCUCAGAAUAAAUAGGGAGAACCAAGCCACAUUAUACUCACUCAGCAAUCAUCUCUUGCAUACUUUCAUAUAUACAUUAUCGUGCUUGUUAAGCAAAACAUGGCAUCCUCAAAGGCUUUUCUUCUUCUUGGUCUUGCCUUUGCUGCUCUCCUCAUCUCCUCUGAGGUCUCAGCUACUCCAACUCGUGAGUUUCUCACUUUCUUAACUAAAUCAUAUAUAUUAAAUAGUAAUUGUAUCUUUCUUUCCAGUAACGAUUUGUGAGUUUAGGCUCAUUUUAAUUAAGGUGCACUGGUCGUGAAAAUGAUUAUGCUUCGAAUUUGUACUAGAUAUAUAUAGCAUUAGUGCUCUAAAAUAUAUUAAUUCUGAGAAUAUCUGGAUGUAAUUUACUCUUUCUGCAGGAAGGGCUAGUGGUUGUUGUACUUGCAUGGCUUAAUCUAUGAUGGUUAAGUGAUGUAUAUUUUAGAGACUAAUGCUAUUUGUAACACAUUUACUGACCAGAUUACUGAUCACCUUUCUAAUAUAGAUGGGCCCCACAUAUACUGGUGGGGCCACCUCUAUUAGAGAGAUGGUCAGUAAAUAUGGUCCAAAGUAGCAGCACUCUAUUUUUUUCUACAUAUUUUCUUGGGUGCUGAUUUUUCCACUCCUUUUUUGGUUUUUUAAUGCUUUUUACUUUAACAUAUAAGGAAGUGUAAGUUGACAAAAGAUGAGUGGGAACAUACAAUUUCCAACAAAAAGAAUGUAAGUGGAUAAAAGAAGAGUGAUAAAAUCAUCUCUCUCUCUCUCUCUCUCUCUCUCUUUUUCUAUAUAUAUAUAAAGUUUUUGUUUGUUCUAUCAGAGGAGAGUGCAGUCAACUAUGAUGACAAUUUUCUUGAUGAUCACGAGCAUGGGCAUGGACAUGACCAUAGGCACGUCCAUGGGCAUGGGCAUGACCACAGGCAUGGACGACAUGGCCAUGGCCACCAUGGCAAAGGGGGACCUGGUGCUGCUGAGACUGAAACCGAGAAUUAGAUAACUUGUUAGUUUCUGUACUUAUGUUGCAGGUGUAUCGUAAGGGUAGUAGUAUGCAAUAAAGUUGUAAUGGUUUGAGUAAUAUCUAUAAACUCUCGAUCAUAGGUUCGCCUUAAGCUUGUUCUUGUGUUCUCUGUCAUGUACGAAUUGGAUCACCUUGUUAUGUACUAAAAUGUGAUUUAACUUGUUGAAUACAUAUUAUGUCAAAAAUUUCUAGUAUGGCUUGGCUACUUAAAAUUGAGGAGGACAUCCUCACAACAAAUGAGAUUUUGAAACUUGUUAAACUUCAAAAGAAAAAAAGGUUAAGGCAAUUCCAAAGAAAAAAAUUUAAAGAAAUUUGCCAAGUUUCAAAAGUCUAUUUGUUUUGAAGACGAACUCCUCCUCAGUUUUAAGGAGUGUAAGUUUUUUCCUAAUAUUAAUGGAGUUUCAUAUAUGACUCAUUUGUUUUGUG